Molecule: ribosomal RNA, 633 nt
Filed under: Triticum aestivum (bread wheat)
Lineage: Eukaryota; Viridiplantae; Streptophyta; Magnoliopsida; Poales; Poaceae
Description: partial small subunit ribosomal RNA
Source: RNAcentral
AUGCAGGAGCAUGCAAACUUAGUCCAUGAAAAAGAUCAGUUGGAGCAACAAUUGCUGGAAGUUAGGAAAGAACUGGAGGCUGCUUACCGUACCAUAGCUAACCAGGAAGAGCAAGCUUCAGUGAGGGAGAUAAAGUGGGAUGCGUUUAAGACGUAUUCAGCGGAUCAACUAGAAGCUGCACAAAAACACGCUGCAGAGCUGGAAGUACAAGUAUCAGCUCUAAAUCAGCAGCUGCAAGAAGCUGAGAUCCAUUACGAGAAAAAGGUUGCAAAGGAGAGUGAGAAACUCGCUCUUGUCAAUACACAGCUCAACAAGCUAACCCAAGAUGUGAGCAAGAGCGCUGAAAUGGAGAAGAAGGUACAGGACCUUGAGCAGAAGUUGCAGCUUGCUCAUUCCAAAUCUGAAGUACAGGCAAAGGAUGCAGUGGUGUCAACGAGAUCCCGAGAAUUCAGCCUGGACUCGUUAGCACCGCAAAACAAACAGCACGACAUAUCUCAGGCUCCUAGCACGGCCUCCCCGAACCCGGCGCAGCAACAACUGCGGGAGCCCUCCGGCAUCAUGGCCGUCAAGUUCAUCCUGGGCGUCGCCCUGCUGUCAGUGGUCAUCGGCGUGUUCCUCGGAAGGAGAUACUAG